RNAcentral lists this ribosomal RNA (305 nucleotides) under uncultured bacterium. RNAcentral's name for it is "bacterial SSU rRNA". It matches the Rfam family "Bacterial small subunit ribosomal RNA", at positions 333 to 655 of the family's 1533-position model. The record is from RNAcentral.
AUAUGCCUACGGGGCGCAGCAGUGGGGAAUAUUGCACAAUGGGGGAAACCCUGAUGCAGCAACGCCGCGUGAAGGAAGAAGGUUUUCGGAUUGUAAACCUCUGUGGAGGGGGACGAUAAUGACGGUACCCCUUUAGGAAGCCACGGCUAACUACGUGCCAGCAGCCGCGGUAAUACGUAGGUGGCGAGCGUUGUCCGGAAUUACUGGGUGUAAAGGGAGUGUAGGCGGGAAAGCAAGUCAGAAGUGAAAACUAUGGGCUUAACCCAUAGCCUGCUUUUGAAACUGUUUUUCUUGAGUGAAGUAGG